UUGGAGGGCAAGUCUGGUGCCAGCAGCCGCGGUAAUUCCAGCUCCAAUAGCGUAUAUUAAAGUUGUUGCAGUUAAAAAGCUCGUAGUUGAAUUUCGGAAUCUGUCCGUCGGUCGGGCUUCACUGUCCGUACUGGUGUGAUGGGUUUCUACCUUCUGAAUAACCGGCAUGUCAUUAAUUUGGUGCGCCGGGGAAGCAGAACUAUUACCUUGAAAAAAUUAGAGUGCUUAAAGCAGGCUAUCGCCUGAAUAGAUUAGCAUGGAAUAAUAAAAUAGGACGGCAUGGUUCUAUUUUGUUGGUUUCUAGGAUCACCGUAAUGAUUAAUAGGGAUAGUUGGGGGCAUUAGUAUUCAAUUGUCAGAGGUGAAAUUCUUGGAUUUAUUGAAGACUAACUUCUGCGAAAGCAUUUGCCAAGGAUGUUUUCAUUAAUCAAGAACGAGAGUUAGGGGAUCGAAGACGAUCAGAUACCGUCGUAGUCUUAACCAUAAACUAUGCCGACUAGGAAUCGGACGAUGUUAAUUUUAUAAUGACUCGUUCGGCGCCUUACGGGAAAC
Molecule: ribosomal RNA, 551 nt
Filed under: uncultured Acaulospora
Lineage: Eukaryota; Fungi; Glomeromycota; Glomeromycetes; Diversisporales; Acaulosporaceae
Description: SSU rRNA
Rfam family: Eukaryotic small subunit ribosomal RNA
Source: RNAcentral